UGUAAUGUGACUUGAGCGACUGCAAGGCAAAAGAGAUUAUAAAAAAGUAGAACUGCAGUCUGUAUUUGUUCUCUGAGUGUUUGAUUAUUUGAUUGUUAUAUAUAUAUAUAACAAUAUAUAUAUAUUGUUAACUCCAUCUUUACAGUUCCAAAAUGUCUUGUGUUUUCAAUGAAGUGCCAUUCCUUUGUUGAAAGAUUGUGGCAAAAUCCAUGACGAAAAGGCUGUUUCACAAAAUCAGCAUCAAAUGAAUAUCAAAAGGAAACCAAAAUUAAAAAAGUACGAUGUUAAAUCAGUUGGCUUUUAACAAGGUAAACAACAAUUCAGGUCAAUAUGGUUCCAAAGGUAAUAUUCAGAGAUUGAAACCUAAUCUGGAGAUGAAUUUGGUUAGUACAAGCUUUAAGUUCUUUAGAAGGAUGUUCUAAUUAAGCUAUCAAUGCAAAUCAGGAAACCUCGCUAUUGAUAUUUGGAUCUCAUAAAUUCAUCCCUACAGAAAGAUUCCACUGUUUUGAAUGAACUUGCCUCAACAGCUCUAACCUUGCUAUACUGUUCUAGUUAAAACAACAACAAUGCAACAACAACCCUCCCCGCUAAAAAAAUAAAAACUAUAUAAAUAAAAAAGAACUUCUGGGUUGGAUUAAGGAUUAUCUAUCAUGCGGCUCAAGGAAACGCAUGCAGUUCUUACAUAAUAAACCAUUUUUUAAGUUGGUUGUCACAACACCUGGAUUCUAAAGAUCCAUUUCCUACAACAGUGAAUUGUUGAUAGGCACAAUUGUGCAGUUCUUGCAUUCCGAGACAAUUGCAAAGUGGUUUGUGAUUAUUAUUUUUUAAAAAAAUAACCGUUUACAAUAACUUAACUCAAGUCUUCUAUAGAUUGAUUUCAAGGAAAAAAAGAAGUUUGCGGUAACCUAUCUCUUACAUAUAUUUUGAGAACAACUCUCAAUGGCCACUUCUUAGCUAAUAACCUGUGCAUUUCUCCUUCAGCCAAAAGCAGUCAAAUUGUUCAUUUUCAUGAUUAACCAACUUUCUUUGAUCUGAACAUUGGAACUCUUCAAUGGCCGAGUUAGAACUGUUUUUGUCACUGAUAAAUUCAAAAUCAGAAGAGACCAACCAAUUUACUUCCAGAAUUUGUUCCCAAUGUGCUUUAUGGACACUUAAAUCUAUAACCAUAAUGCAUUUCUGUCUGUUUUUGUAAUGAGUUAUUGAAUUAAAUAAAACAUAACUUACCCUAUUUUUGACCUUUUCAGGAAUUCCCGACCCCUCCUCCUUUGACUCCUACAGUCUGCAUUUGUUUUGCCUGAUUUAGUCCUCUUUAAGCUAGAAGCAUGAGUAGGACAGUAUUUAUUACAGUCAAUUUAACUGUGAGCUUGAUGGUAUUCUUUUAUCAACAGUGAGCGUUGAAGAGAAAGCAUGAGAACGGGAAGAAUCAAUUGUGUGGGUAAAAUUGUCUGACUUGGUCAUCUGGUAUUCAGAUAUCAGUUGAGUUGGAAAGGGAUAUUGCUGGGUUGUUCUAUAUCUUAAAGGUCUGCUAAUUGUGUUGGAAAGUCAUAUUUUGCUUACCAACCAUGUGCUCUAAGAUGAAACAAAGAUUGUUGGUGAGUUUCAGCCAACACAAAUACUAAGAGAUUUGACUGCCAACAUGAGAAAAGUCUGUCCUUUAGAACAGCUGUGAAGAUGAAGCAAUUCAUCAUGAAGAUUAUUAUUCCAAGCAUUUUAGAAACUGCCUUGGGUAUAAUAUCUGGGUAAAUUUUACAUGGUUUCAAUUAAGAGCGGUCAUGCUUAAAGAAAGUAAUAUGGCACUGUCUUCCUUUGCCUCGCUCCUGUCACGGAUGAAAGGUUUUAAAAUAAGUAGGUUCAACUGGAAGCAGGGAAACCAUUAUAAAUUGUUUGUCUUAAAGAGCAUAUUGUUAUUAAUGUCAUGUAUUAUUAUUAAUAGUUGCCCUCAUGCUGAAUUUCUCAAUGCACCCUGCUUCUCAUUGAGGCAUUGAAAGACUGAAACAAGACAUGUUUAAAUCGCAGUUUGGCUGUAGUUACAAAAGGUUGUAUAUAUUUUACUCAUGUUUAUAGAUCAGUUUCAUGUCCUUAAUCAGUAGCUGGUUUUCCUUCCAUGAGUAGUUGUGCAUUUGAAGUUUGAACUAUUAAAUUCAGGUCAAGGAAAGAAAGCCACUUUGUGUCUGUGUUCCUAUUUUAAUUUAAAAAAAAAAACUCUUAAGGCAGAAAUACUUAUGUUCCUACCAUGAGUCAAUCGAUUAUCAUAAUCCAGAGUAACUUUCUGGAAGAAAUAAUUGAGAUCACAGGAAUUCCACUGUUGAGGAAUUCUGAUUUAGCGCUGUGUGAGUAAAUAUUGUAUAUGAGUUUUUGCAACUGAAUGAUGCAUGAGUAACUACUGAAUCACCACAUUUGGUUAUGAGCCAUUUGAAAAAUUAAAAGAGAACAGCCUCCAGCCAUUUGUUAAUAUUUUUUUCCAAGGCAAGUUAAUAAUAAUCAAGGUAAGUCUUUGAAAUAGGAAAAUAUCUUUUUAAAAUUAAUUCCACAUUCCCAUGUCAUUCUGCUGUAUGAGUAAAGUAGCACCAAAUUACAAUAGCUAUCUUUAUUAUUAUUAUUAUUAUUCACAGGAUUUAUAGGUUCCUCCAACUGACUCUGAGCAGACUAUUAUUUCCUUCUGAACAAUAUCUGAAUGUACCAAUCUUUCAUACAAUAUAGAUUGAGAGGUCUUUCCAUAGUGCAAAUCUACUCAAAAAUAAACCAUUCUGUGUUCAGCAGUCAUUCCCAAUAAAACAUACGAAGAAUUACAACUAUCAAAGAGCUUCGGAUUCUCUAGAUCUUGUUUGUUUUAAUUAAUUGCAUGCAAGGUAGUUUAAGACUUAUGUAUGCAAUUUAACUUGUAACUUCUGACAGAUUACUGAUCUAUUUUAAUGGGACUUUUAUUUUAUAUCUGACUGUCUUUCACUUCAUGGGACUCUCUCAAAGAUCAGGAUAUGAUAAUGCAAAUGAAUAGCAAUUGCCUUUGAGUUCUUAACAAGCGAUUCUUGGUUAUAAAUUCUUGGUUUGAAUAAAAAAUGAGGGGGAAAUUGAUAUAAAAUAUGAAUGACAAUAUAACAUUGUAAUAAGGCAAUUGUAAAGUGGAAUUACUUUGUCAAUGCCUGUAAGCACUUCCUUAACAUUUCAAUUAAUUACACAUUGUGUUCCUACAUGGCAUGUUUGGCCAGACUGAGUUAUAGGGCAUCCAAUUAUUUUUUUAGAGAAUGGAACUAGUGAUUCCCAAAAGACAGGAAUCAGGCAGAGGGCAGUUGGAAAUCUUUUAGCCAAAUUUUACACUAAUUGUCUCAAACAUAAGUGACCCUGAAUUUGGUGAAACUUACAUCUUUUUAAUACAUGAGAUUGAAAUCUAGGAGUAUUUUACAAACAACACUUCCUUAUCAGAUGGGAGUAGAUAGAUUUAAAUUAAAGCCCAAAAGAGAUACGCCUUCUAAAAGAAUCCUUAUCCAAUAACUUUCUGCUUUCAUUUUAAACACUAUUUGUCAUGAAAAUGUUUUGCCACUCAUUCUAUGAUCAAUGUGGUUUAUUGAGAUCUGCUUUAAUGAUAACACACUUAAUCUACAGUACACCCAGGGUGCUUUAUGAAGGAACCACACCCAAUUUCUAAUUCUUGGCUUUUUUUUUUUUUUUUGCUUUUUUUUUUAGAGGAAUUUAAUGAUUUUGCUUUUUAGCACAAGUAGCAGCAUCAAAGUAAGAUGCCCAAGAAUGAAAUCUGAAAAUGUCAUAACUUUCUUUUAAAUGUUAUGUUUAAAAGCAACAUACAUGCCAUUACAUUUCAGUGCAAUCUUUUAUUUUAGAGGCAGGAGAACACCUGUUUUAUUAAAAUGGGAUUAAAAAAAAUACUAAUUUUAAUGAUCGAAGUUUCACUGCCAGUUCUGCCCUUGAUUUUACAGAGUAGAACAGGUGAGUGUAAGACUUUAGAUAUUUAAAGUAAACAGGGCUUAUUUCAAAAUGUUACAGUCACUGUGCCAACGUGCUGCACUUGAUUGGCUAAAUAAAUUACAUAACUUUUCCCCAUUCUAAAAUAUUUAUUACACAACAACUCUGUUUGCUACUUAGUAAAAUUUAUACAAUUAUUAAGGGGAUUCUGUAUGAAAAUCUUUUGAGUAUGCCACAAUCAAAGUUAAAUCAUUUCUAAACACAAGUUUAGUAGGCUAACAAUUGACAAAUUUCUCCUUUGAUUGAAUUGGGACUAGUAUGAUUUUCAGCUCAAUUAAAAUCGAUACACUUUUUUUGAAUAGAUUCUCAUUUCUGGCCACAUUGUCCCAAAGGGAAGGGAAAAUGGAUUAAAAUAUUUUCUGAUUCACUGAUUACAUGCUCACUGAUUUUCAGGGACAGAAUAUUUCCCAAUGAAAUAUACUAGGAAAGUGUGGAGAAGUUGGCCUGAGUGGCUUCAUGUUAAAAGAAAUAUAUUUGCCCAGAAGAUUUAAGCAAACUGGGUCUUGCAGUUUAGUAGUUGUAUAAAGUAUUAGUGGGUUUACUUCACAUUUAAAUCAUAGGCAUGUCAACUGAUCAAUCUUUACACCCAGUGCUUGCAAGACCUGUGAACAUCGUAACUAAUCAGUUUCUAUUUCAGUUAAUCUUAUUUCCUAACAAGGAAAUUGCAAUCAUUUUGGAAUUGGAUUACAUCCUAGAAGACAAUGGGACACUUUAUUUAUUAUACAGAAAUCCCACGGGUCUUUCAAAGCAACAAAGUGUUUCUUUAUUUUAACCUGACAUUAACUCUGCAAACUAAAUUAAGCUGGGCAAAAGGUUGAAUUCACACAUUAUGUUAAGACAUAGGAUGGUUUCCUUGAUCUAGGCUUGGAGGAACGUGUGAACCCAUUCCUUGUGAUUUAUAAAUCUCAGUUUAUGUCUAAAGCCCAACAAUUUGGGGUUGAUUUAGUAAAGUGGCUUAGUGGCAUACCUAAACUCCGGUUUUAUUGAUUGGUCAUUCUAAUAAGCUUCAAAGCUAGAAAAAAGCAUUUCGGUGUGGCUCAACCUGAACAAAAUCCAGCCACAAAGCAAUAUUAAUAUGAGGGCAAGUAAUGGAAUUGGCGCAUCAACUUUUGAAGAAAGAUAAGCGACUCUUUGCAAACAGCUACAGGAGAACCAUGCUAGAGGUCCUACUUCUGAAUUACACAUAGAGAGAUCUAGUUUUUGCUUAGGAUUGGAAAAGGGAAGAUUUAAUGAAAGAAGAUCACUCUGCAAGGACUAGUCUAAGCCAAAGCGCUAACUUAUUUCUGCCUCUUCCCCAUCCAAUCCAAAGCUGUCUCAUCAUUUUCGCCAAGAUCCGUAACUGUUAAAAAAAAAAAAAUACUGGGAAAGCUGACUAUUUUAUGGGAAGGAAAUGAAAACAAAACAAGAAGCUUCUUCAGUUCUGAAGUGAAGAAGCUUCUUGGAUCAGAAGCGAAACGUCUCCAAGCAAAAACAAAGCUGCUCCAGUUGCCUUUUAUAAAAACAUCUUUGAGACAACCAGGAUCUGGAUGACUGAGAAUCUCCAUAUAAACAAAACAAUUCUUCCUAUUUUAGCCCCAAGCUCACAACACCUACGAAUUACAACCAGUCGUAUUUGCUGUUCUGUGUAUAAUCACAGAGCAGGGUGACUUAAUCUUGGACUCUUGGAUAGCCCCCGCUUGUCAUUGGAACUCAACUUUGGAAGACAAGUGCUUGUAGUAAGCAACUGCAAUGUAUUGUAAGCAACUCCAUCUGAAGAUCUGAGCUCCUAAGAGCACUUGGAUUUAUCCAAUUCACCUCCCUUCUCUAACCCCCCCCCCCACAACCUGAGUAGUAUUUCUGGGUCCUUUUUGGAUCUAGAGGACAGUUGCUUGCCUGUCAAAAAGGAAAAACAGAUGAAGAGACGAUACCCAUCUACUGUGUCGGUAUAAGCACCGACAAUUGCCACUUUGUGCCUUUGAAGUCAUAGGAGAUAUAACAGGGCAAGAAAAAGGAAGCAUCAAAGGGGAAAUCAAAAGCAAGCUGUGUUGCCGAAGAAGCUGAUUAGUAGGCUGGUCCACGUCCUUUGGACCUUGAGAGAUGUAACCAGGGAAAUAAGCAACGCAAGUCCAUGGCUUGGUUCAUAAAGCAGGACUAAUUCCCUCUAUUCUUCCCCUUCAUAUACUCGCUCACCCUUGUGAGUGUCUGUCUCUCUUUCUCCCUGUCACUCAAGGCUCCCUUCUUGGACCUGGGAAAGGACCUCACCCUGUGAUGCAAUUCUCAACAAACAAGUUAGAAGGAGAUCUUUUUAUUCAUCAAUUAAAAAUCCCUGGAUGGAUGAUUGCACAGAUUUCAGGAGCAAGGCCGGGCCAAAGAAUCAACAUUUGCAAAUAAGCAAACCUCUGCAUUUUUAACAGAUGAUGUUUGUGUAGGUUUCUGCCUAUCCGUCAAACCAGAUGGGAAUUCUUCCACAUUUCAAAAACAGGCAUCCCAAAUUUCAAACAGACCCGUCAAUAUGGGCAUAUCCUUAUCUAUGCAGACUGCACAGUGGUAAAGUCAGAGCCACAGUUUGAUUCUAGGCGAAAAAGCAGUGGAGGCAGUGUUUCAAUUAAAUAUGAGUACACAACUCUACGCAGAUGCCAGGCUUUUGAAAUUAUUCUCAGAGGAGCUUGUCUCUUGCUUCAGCACUUGGCUCUGAAGCUAAAAUGUGUCCCCAUUUUAUUGCUGGUGAUCAUUUAUGUGUGUCUUUAUUAUUUUUAUUCAUAGCUGCUUCGGUAAAAAUAACAGCAACAGCAGUUCCUUUUUAAAAUGCCUCGUUAGCUAGUCCUUAAUUUGGAAUUCUUCCUACUUUCUAGAGGAGAUUGAGACUGGUUGGGAUUGGGACACUGAAGACAAAGGUGAAUGGGAGGUCACACAGAGAAAAUUCCUUUUGAGCGUUUCAUUGCCAGGUUAGGUAACAUCUUCAGCUGAAU
This is a long non-coding RNA of Crotalus tigris (Tiger rattlesnake), 6923 nucleotides long. RefSeq lists it as uncharacterized. The transcript has 3 exons. NCBI's taxonomy places the organism in Eukaryota, Metazoa, Chordata, Lepidosauria, Squamata, Viperidae. The record is from RefSeq and is a predicted model, not a curated record.